Long non-coding RNA from Sitophilus oryzae (rice weevil), 542 nucleotides. RefSeq lists it as uncharacterized. Lineage: Eukaryota; Metazoa; Arthropoda; Insecta; Coleoptera; Curculionidae. The transcript has 2 exons. The record is from RefSeq and is a predicted model, not a curated record.
UGGAGUCUAAAAGGAGGAGGCGAAUCGAACGCAAAAAUUAUGGGCCCAGUUUUUGAGAUCUAAAUGAAGUUCGAAAAUCGCCGUUAGGGGCGCUUGUGAUGAUUGGGAUACUAGAAAUACACAGCUUCUUAUGGCAAGAAUAACUAUUUUGUUAUAAAUUAUAGAGCCAAGUUAAUAUUUGGGCAUAUUUUUACCAGAGUUAGCUUUUAGAAACGUGGUUUUUCUAAUUGAGCAAUGUGCGUGGCUAAAAUUGUGAAUACAAAACCUUAAAUUUGAGUUUGAAAAUGCAUACACGACCGAAGAAACAUAUAAGCUGCUAAAAUAAAUCUUCCCUAGAACUGUUGUACAAAAAAGAUAGAAGUUCCAGCAACAAAUUUAUCACCAGUUCAACCUUUGAUUUGAUGUAAACAGUAAUUGUUUCUUGAUGAGAAAUGCGAAUGAAAUAGUUUAUGGUGUGAUUGUGUUAGUGUUUUAUUAAUAGUUUUGUUGAUGCAGUUUAAAGGUUCAUAGUUUUUCAUUAAAACAUUUGAAAUUGACAUGUU